Non-coding RNA from Microcebus murinus (gray mouse lemur), 2325 nucleotides. The record is from RefSeq and is a predicted model, not a curated record. NCBI's taxonomy places the organism in Eukaryota, Metazoa, Chordata, Mammalia, Primates, Cheirogaleidae.
CUCUGCAAGCAAGCUUGAAAUGGGCUUCUGCCUGAGCGGCAGCCGGGGUGACCAAUAACUCUGUGUUUUGAGCCGGCGAGGCCCAAUGGUGCGGCAGGGAAGGCGGGCCCGAGCUGGGUUAGGGUGUCCUUGCAGGGUGUCUGAGCUAAACUUCACCAAAUAAUAGCUGUUUGUAUUUUGGCUGCUGCAGGAGCCAUUUUAGCCGUUUCUGGGCACUGGGAACUCGAAGAUACAUGAAUGCAUGUGGUCUCUGCCCUUGUGGAAUGCACAGUCUGUUAGAAGAGACAGAGAGGUGGUGCAUUGUACGUCCUGUUCAUAUUAGAAGACAUGUAAUGUUUGUCCCAUUUUGUAUGUACUAUGAUCGAUUGGUGGAUUUAUGUUGGCACAGCCCUUUUUUGUCAAAUUGUAUUUCCUCCAUUGACCAAUAAAAUCCAAGGAAUGACAUUUUGACAAUCUGCAGAUUUCCAGGUUUGUCCAUCUUUCACCUAAUGGUUUGAGUUUAACAUUUAUUGAUGAUUGUUGCCUAAAUCAUUUAUUUCACUAUUGCUACAUUUUAAGAAGACCAGACUUUCAUUUUGUUAAAAAAUGAAAUGAAACUUUUUGAUAAAUUUUUAAAUCUGAGGUUUCUGGAAAAUUCAUUUAUGCAAAGUACUUAUUUUCUGAUUAUACCUGGUAAAAUAGGUGUCAUUGUGAUAGAAAGAAUGUUUAAAAGUUGUGUUUAGCUGAAAUAAAUGCCCCUCUAUUUGUUUUUGCAUGAGUUGUCUUUAAAUGAUUUAUUUUAUGGGAGCAGAUUUUGAACAAGAAUCAUGUUUCUGGAUUGUUUUGCAUUUGUGAAAUGUUUUUAUCUACAUUAGGGCUUGCUCCUUUAACCAAGGAAAAUAAAGUUCUAAAGUUACUUUGAGGAUUUUGGAUCAUAAUAAAAAUUUAUCAUGAUCAUGAAUCCUUAUAGGUCAUUUAUUCCCACUGCUAUUGUCAGAUAUUUUUUCUGUUAUCCUAGAUGGCUGUCAUAUAAAUAUCAAUAGUAAUAUUUAACAGUAUAUAGUACUUUCUGUGUGGUAGACACUGUAGUUUGUAAUUUGCAUGUACUAAUUUAAUUUAUUUAAUCCUCAUAUGAUUAUCAUCCCUAUUUUAUACAUGAGGAAGCUGAGACAGGAGGUUAAGUGAUUUGCCCUGGUCAUACAGCUAAUAAAUAGCAAGCGCUAACAUUUGGACCCAGACAAUUGGGUUGUAUAAUCUGUACUCUAACCCAGGGAGAGAGUGGAUUAUGUGGAUUAUUACUAGAAAAAUACCUGCUAGCCUUGGAGGAUCAUCUGUAUAUUCAGCAUAUAAAUAAUCUACAUACAUAUUUUUUCUUUACUUGUGUGGAGAUACAUACAAACACACAUACUACAUGUCCACCUGAAGGAGCAAAUAUAUAGGUUUCCCCUUGAAAGGUCCUAGGAACUUAUUUGUUCCAAAUGCUAGUUCUUUCUCUCUGUUCUUAUGUUUGAAUUAAUGUUGUUUUGUAUUGGUCUGAUAACAGGUUAAUCUGUAAGAAAGAUUUCUUUCUACUGAUAAGAAAAUCAGUAGAUCCUCAAGAAUCUGAACAUUGUACGACAAUCUGAUGAUUUAAAUAACUGGAUGUCAUUGAUAGGGAUAGGAAUUAUGGAAAAAGAUAAGAAACCUUCCUCAGCUCAGGUAAACCUUCUUCAGCUCAGGUCUGGAGCUGAAUGAGACAGAUUUAUCUAGUGUUUUUGAGUUUGCUUGAAGCUUUAGGCAGUAUGUGCUAGUGGUAAAAUUUAACAGAAAAGACUUCAAAGGGGUUGAUUCUCUAGGUAUAAUGGUGGGGAUGGGCUUAAAGCCAACAUAUUUCUUAGUUUUACUCAUUUUGUUUAUAGAUUCAAAUAUCGAUGCUGUAUAUAAGUUUGGUAAUCAUUAUUGAAGGGCUGAUUUUCUCCACAUAUAGAGAGUUUCUUCAAGUACCUAACAUGUUUUGGUAAAGAUGUUCAUGCCUUCUGACAGAAACAGAUUUCCUGAAUCAUCUUCCUGACUUCUGGGCAUCCUUUCAUUUUUAGUAAGUUUUGCUUGAAGAAAAAAUGAAUUUAUUUUCCUUCUAUAUUAAAAAAGAAAGCUUUUUUAUUCACCUAGAGAAUGGAGAACUCAGUAAAAUAGGGAACAUAUUACUGUUUUUGCAGAAGGAUUCAUUUUCUUUUUAUCUGCGAAUGUAGUUUUAAGUACUGGGGUCUUAGAAUGAUAGGAUUUUAAGGCAUGGAUUCUUUAGGAAAGGAUCUUUAUAAUUUUUAAAAAAGCCUUUUUUUGGCUGGGCGCGGUGGCUCAUGCUUGUAA